Molecule: long non-coding RNA, 1280 nt
Filed under: Monodelphis domestica (gray short-tailed opossum)
Lineage: Eukaryota; Metazoa; Chordata; Mammalia; Didelphimorphia; Didelphidae
Description: lncRNA (ENSMODG00000043523.1)
Source: RNAcentral
UAUGUUCUUUUUCAAUAUCAUUUUAGGUACCCAUUCUGUGCAUGAAUACUUUUGGAAGCAGUCCAGUUGAAACUGGCACACUGCCCCCAAUGCCCACUUGUUGAGCGGGAACAGAGUGAUAAUGGACUUGAUCGGAUAAUGAUGGUAUUGUUCCAAUGGUUGGCCUCAUUCUCCAAAGCAUUGAGAAUCUUGUCAGGAUUGCUUCUAUUUUCCAUGAAGGGUAAAAGGAAGGUGACUCUCCCUAUCUCCUACACUGGCUGCCAUGUGGCUGUGACAUAAGCUGAAGUGGACAGUGGAGGAGUGAGCCGAACAUACACGAACAGCAUGCUGGAGAAAUAUAUCAAAUUCAACAAGGAGACAAGUGGAGAUCUAGACAAAGAUGUUUCCAGGUGGGAAGAGGAAGAAGGGAAGCAAACUUCCUGAUACUGAAAGGGAGAUUGAAAAGGGAAAAGAAGAAAAGAACUAGCAUCUAAGAGGAAGGAUGCCCAUCGAUUGUGCAAUAACAGAACAAACUGUGGUACGUCAAUGUACCAUACAAGAUGACAAAAAAGAUGACUUCAGGGAAUGCUGGGCAAUAUGAGCUGAUGGAAAGUGAGCAGAACAAGCAAAAUGGUUUCUAAAAGGACCACAGCAUUGAAAAGAAAACAAGGUUUAAAGCUAUAAGAACUCUCAUCAGUGUAGGGACCGCCCAUGCCUCCAGAAGACCCCUGAUAAAGCAUGUCGCCUCCUUCCCAACAAACAAGGGAUAAACUUAAUGUUCAGAAAGACACAUACAUUUAUGUAUAAGGCCCUUGUUUUUCUGGCCUAAAAUGAUAUGAUACAACGAUGUUUCUUCCCUUCUUUUUUUCAGCUUUUGAUUAGGGAGAGUUAGGGAGAAGGGGCUAGCAAGAGUAAUGCCAAAAAGAAAAAAAGGACCAUUGAAAUAUUUUAGAAAAUACACAGAAAGGAAAUGAAGGAAGUUGGGGAGGAAGCAGAGAUAAGCAGAACAAAGAAACCAAAGGCCGUUUGACCACUUGUAAUAUGUAUCCUAGUCACACACACACACACACACACACACACACACACACACACACACACACACACAUAGAUAUGGAUUGAAUUAGAUGGGAACUGCAGUGCCUCCUGACUCAUAAUCUGUACAAGAGACAGUUUCAAAUAGAAAAAAUGAAAUGAGCUUGUACAAGGAAAAUUUUCUGAGUGUCCCCUUAAAUAUAUUUGUACAUCUUGCUCUUUGUUUUCUGAAUCCUUGAGGUAAUAAUUGUGUGUGUGUGUGUGUGUGU